CAAUAAUAUAUAUUAUACUUAUUAGUAGAUUAAAAAAAUUCGAGAACAUGUUCGGAAUAAUUGGAGCAUUUUGACAGACAAGCAAGAAAUUGCGAUAAUAUGUAAACAAGGACAUAUUGGAAAAUUAUUUUCAAUAUUCUUAAUAGUAUCGAUCUAUGCUGUACUUCUUUUUGGCAGUGUUUUUGCACAAUGUAUUUCAAUCCUAUUUGAUAUUGUAAUACCUUUAAAUGAAUCUCGUCCGCGCAAACUUCUUUUCCCAGCUGAAUAUUUUAUCGAUCAGCAGCAAUACUUUUAUGUCAUAACAAUACAUAUAGCUGUGUCAAUAUUUUUCAUGACUACGAGUGUUAUGGCUGCAGAAUUGUUCGCAUUCUCGAAUGCAUUACACGCUUUCGGGUUAUUUAAAAUUGCUAGGUGAAUACUUUGACUUCAUACACUAAUUCUCUUCUUAAAAAUAAUUUUGCUGUUUUAAUUUUUCUCACACUUCUUUACAUUUAAUAAUCACAUUUAAUUAUAAUAUUUUUUAAUAUACUUUUCUAUUUUUCUCUUUACUAUAUUAAGCAGCAUAUUUUUUACAGUUAUGCAUAUAAUAUUCCUUUAGAAAACAUUUUAUUUGUUGUACUUGUUAACUUAGAUUAUCUAUUUACCUUUUCGUGUAUUUAGAUUUGAAUUUUUUAAUUCUUAUUUUGCGCAUUACUAUUAUUUAUAUAUAUUUAUAUUUAAUCAAUAUUUAAUAUAUUAUUAAUAAUUAUAUGUAACUUUAUUACAAUAAAUUUAUGUUAUAUUACAUAAUAUGAAUUAAUUCAACAUUUGAAUCCUUUUAUAUAGCUAUCGUAUGAAAAAUAUAUUAAAUGGAAUUAAUCAAACAGAGAUGUGUCUAAAUAAAAAAUAUAUCAUAUUUUAUAACAGAAUAAUCGCUGCAGUAGACUUUCAUAGAAGAGCGAUUGAGUUAGUAUCUUAUUUAAGUUAUGUAUAUAUGUAUAUAUACAAUAAAUUCUUAUUUUAACCAAAUACACUCGAUUUCACACACACACACACACAAUACACACAGAGAAGGCGGGAGGAUUCACUUUAACCCUUCGAGGUCACACUUCUUUUUUCUAACGCCGAGGUCACACUGGGUGGUUGCCACCCAUCGUCAUUUUUAAAAUGCUAUAUUUAUGAAAUUAUCAAAGAUAUGGUAACAAAAAAAUUUAUGGAUAAACUUGAAUGUUUGGAAAAUGUAUCCUGAUAUUAUUUAAGCAAAAAUCUAAAACCAUUAGUACCUAAAAAAAUUUUUGAAUCUUCCAACAUUAGAAAAAAAAGUUUUUACAAAAUAAAUCAUAACUUUUUUAAUUUUCAAUAUUUUUAGCUAAAAAUUUAGACUUUUAUUGUUCAAGUCUUGUACUUCAAGGAAAAAAAAUGUCUUUGACUAUUUUUUCAAAAAGAGUAUUUAUUUUGCAUACUGAACAUGGAAUAUUUUAGUAUACUGAAAAACAGGUAUUUUCACAGAACAGUCAUGUUACGAUAGUAUUUACUUGAACGUCACUUUUUUGUAUGCCACGCAAAACCAUUUUUUCCUCGCAAAAUAGAUUGCGGUCUAUCGCGUGCACGCAAUGUUAGAAUGCGUUAAUCUAACGUUACAUUUUCAAGAUCACUGUCCACUUCGUCCACAGAUUGCUCUGAAUCGCUUGAAUAUGAUUCUUUGAAUAUGAUUUUCCUCGACAUCCGAAUUAAUAUCGUUGAAAUCAUUACGUCCAUUAUUUUGUAAAAUAUCUUAUAUGAUCGCUGCCGUAAAUUAUAGACCAUUAUGCUACAUAUUUUCGAAGAAUGAAUUAACAUAAAGAUUUUAAAAAAAUUCUAGGCAUAAGAAUCUGUAUUAUAUCAUACUUUUACACUUUUUAGACCACAAAAAACACAAAAAUUUGAACCACUACAAAACACAAAAAACUUACACGGAAGUCACACAUGGAGUGGCUACCACCCUACCUUGUCUUUGGACGACUGCCAAAAACAAACCAAUGCUACUUUCAGUUACAGUAUAGUACAAGAGCAUAAAUAAUGAAUUACCUUGAAUUACCAUUAAAUGGCGUUACUAGCAUCAUUUUUUCUUAAAUCGGAAAGAUAUAAUGUGUUGAAUUUAAACGAUGGGUGGUAACCACCCAUCAGUGUGAUCUCGAAGGAUUAAUUUAAUUGACGCAUUUGAGUUACUCCAAAAAUAUACAAGAUAUCGAAGUUCCGUUUUUUUACAAAGUAUAAUAUCAAAAAGGACAAAAUAAUACAUUUAUUUGAGGAUUGUAUGAAAAUCACCAUCGAUUUCUGGUUGAAUCAAAUUUCUAAUUAAUUCAACGAGAUACUUAUUAUUUAAAUUAAAUUAUUGAGAAAAGUGAUUGUUAACUUUUUAAUUUUGCACAUAUUAAUUAAUAUGAUAUUCCUUUUAAAUUGCACUUUAAAUAUAAUCUUGCAUGUGUGAGAAAAUUAACUUGUUUUAAUAUAAAUAUUGUGAAUAAUGUAUUAAAAAUUAUGAUUUUUAAAGGAUCUCUUAAAAAGAUUUUAAAAUGACAGAAUUACUGACAUUGCAAGUUUAAAUUUUCUUUGAGAAUAUACUUUAUAAAAUUGAAAACCAAAUUGAAAAUUUUACUCAUUUAAAAUACACUCAAAAAUGAAUCUCAGAAUACUCAAUUUAAGCUUAAGAAUAAAAAUAUAAUUAUAAAAACCUAUUGACGUCUGGUAUGUAAUUUUUAAUUCUUUUUAUUCUUAAAUUCUUAAUUGUCCUUGGACUUAUUUUUGUAUACUUUAAAUAUGUAAAAGGGUUUAAUUCUGUAAAGUUAUAACUAAAAGAAAAUUUAAUGCCAGUAAUUUCCAUUUUUAGGAUGUCUUUAACAGAACAAUAAUUCAAAAUGUUUUAUUCUAUAAGAUUAUCUGAUUUAUUGAAAGCAAGUUUUGGACCAUCAUAUUUAAUUUUAUUAUUAAUGGGUGUGUGUUCAGCAACUAUCAAUUUAAUAAACGUGAGUAGCACAGUAUUUGAAGAAUAUUUUAUUUAAUAUUCUAAUUUUUUACAAAUUUCUCGAAAAAAAACAUAUAAUCAAAAACAUAAAUUUUUUAAUGUAAUUGAUACAUUUAUUUGUAGCUAUAUCGAAUAAUAAAUAAGGAAAAAGAAAUUUUGGAAAUUAUAAGAGCUAUCGUGUUUAUAAUCCUACAUCUUGUGUAUUUCAGUGUAGGUAAUUAUGCCGGGCAAGAGUUUAUAAAUUGUGAUACACAUGUUUAUCGUAUGAUGUAAGUUACACGAUUGCUAUUAUAUUAUAUUUUUUUAUAGUAAUAAUUUUACAUUGUUUUUUAAAUCGUGCAUUUAUAUCAUGCAUUAUUAUUGUAAUUAUACGAUAUUUAAUAUCUUAUCUUUGUAAAUAGAUGCAAUAUGAAAUGGUAUAAUGCCCCAUUGAAAAUACAAAAAUUGAUACUCUUUUUAAUACAAAAGACUACAAGAUGUUACAGGGUUAGUGCUGGUGGUAUGUUUAAUCCCUGUUUGGAAGGGUUCGCCACAGUAAGAAAUCUUACUAAAUUAAUGUGUGUGUGUGUGUGUGUGUGUGUGUGUGUGUGUGUGUGUGUGUGUGUGUGUGUGUGUGUGUGUGUGUGUGUGUAACGGUAAUAUUUACUAUUUCUCGUAAAUAAUUAAAGUGAGUUAAAAAAUUGACUAAAAAAGUUCUUUAUUGUUUCGCGAGUUUCUCAAUAGUGAAUGAGGAAUUUAUUAGUAAAAAUCCGCGAAUCAACAUACGUUUGCAUGAUUCGACCGUUCAAUAUUUUUGGUCACGAGCAUUGAAAACAAAGCAUUGAAAAAAAUUUAAUUAAUAUUAAUAGUUAUGCACAAACGCACAUUAUUGUUAGUUGAUCUCUUGUCAUGGAAUCGCAUAGAUGCAUUGAUUUACAGAGCUUUGUAAAUUAAUCCCUCAUUAACUAUUGAAAAAAAA
Monomorium pharaonis (pharaoh ant) is the source of this 3941-nucleotide long non-coding RNA. RefSeq lists it as uncharacterized. Lineage: Eukaryota; Metazoa; Arthropoda; Insecta; Hymenoptera; Formicidae. The transcript has 2 exons. The record is from RefSeq and is a predicted model, not a curated record.